AACGAACGCUGGCGGCAUGCCUAACACAUGCAAGUCGAACGAGACCUUCGGGUCUAGUGGCGCACGGGUGCGUAACGCGUGGGAACCUGCCUUUAGGUUCGGAAUAACUCAGAGAAAUUUGAGCUAAUACCGGAUAAUGUCUUCGGACCAAAGAUUUAUCGCCUUUAGAUGGGCCCGCGUUGGAUUAGCUAGUUGGUGGGGUAAAGGCCUACCAAGGCGACGAUCCAUAGCUGGUCUGGGAGGAUGAUCAGCCACACUGGGACUGAGACACGGCCCAGACUCCUACGGGAGGCAGCAGUGGGGAAUAUUGGACAAUGGGCGGAAAGACCUGAUCCAGCAAUGCCGCGUGAGUGAUGAAGGCCUUAGGGUUGUUAAAGACUCUUUUACCCGGGUACCGAUGAUGACGGUACCUGGAGGAAUAAGCCCGGCUAACUCUGCCAGCAGCCG
Molecule: ribosomal RNA, 447 nt
Filed under: uncultured bacterium
Lineage: Bacteria
Description: bacterial SSU rRNA
Rfam family: Bacterial small subunit ribosomal RNA
Source: RNAcentral